AGGAUGUCUACAUUACUAUUUUCUUCUCUGUUAAACUUUGUUCAAUUAAUUCAUUGGGUAAACGGAACAGAUGAAGACAGAAGCGGACCUAGCUUAUAAGUUAUGGGUUCACGUAAAUCUUUUGUCAAUACCAUGUAUAUGUAUUAACAAAUCAACUACUUUAAAUAUUUAUAAAUAUUUGACUGUAAAAGCAGUAAUUAUUAUCUAUAUUAACUUGAGGUACUCAUCGUAGGAACCAAUAAACUUCAAAUCCUAGAUAUGUCUUGGACGAAGAAACCCUUGAAGGGAGACCAGACUUACAAGAGGAAUUGAUCAUCAGAGAAUGUUUGGUUCGUAAGAGGGGACAACCAUUUGAGUUAACAAAUUUGAUUUCUCACUGGAGCUAGCAGG
Molecule: long non-coding RNA, 390 nt
Organism: Solanum tuberosum (potato)
Lineage: Eukaryota; Viridiplantae; Streptophyta; Magnoliopsida; Solanales; Solanaceae
Exons: 2
Source: RefSeq, a predicted model, not a curated record